Molecule: ribosomal RNA, 423 nt
Filed under: Verrucomicrobiota bacterium
Lineage: Bacteria; Pseudomonadati; Verrucomicrobiota
Description: Verrucomicrobia bacterium partial 16S ribosomal RNA
Rfam family: Bacterial small subunit ribosomal RNA
Source: RNAcentral
UGAGGAAUAUUGGUCAAUGGACGAGAGUCUGAACCAGCCAAGUAGCGUGCAGGAUGACGGCCCUAUGGGUUGUAAACUGCUUUUGUUUGGGAAUAAUCGACAUUACGUGUAAUGUUUUGCAUGUACCAUUCGAAUAAGGACCGGCUAAUUCCGUGCCAGCAGCCGCGGUAAUACGGAAGGUCCAGGCGUUAUCCGGAUUUAUUGGGUUUAAAGGGAGUGUAGGCGGUUGGUUAAGCGUGUUGUGAAAUGUAGAUGCUCAACAUCUGACUUGGGGGGGGAAUUGGUUAAGUUGGGAACACACAAGGAAGGCGAAAUCCUUGGGUAGGCGGUGAAAUGCUGGGUUAUCAUGAAGAACUCCAUUUGGGAAGGAGGCUUACGGAGUGUUACUGACGCUUAAGCUCGAAGGUGCGGGUAUCGAACAGG